GUUUUAAUAGUUUAACAUAAAAACGAUAAUUUUGUAAAUUAUUAAUUACUUUUUAAUAAGUUUAAAGCU
Molecule: transfer RNA, 69 nt
Filed under: Pseudomyrmex elongatus
Lineage: Eukaryota; Metazoa; Arthropoda; Insecta; Hymenoptera; Formicidae
Description: tRNA-Thr
Source: RNAcentral